RNAcentral lists this ribosomal RNA (434 nucleotides) under uncultured bacterium. RNAcentral's name for it is "partial 16S ribosomal RNA". It matches the Rfam family "Bacterial small subunit ribosomal RNA", at positions 29 to 507 of the family's 1533-position model. The record is from RNAcentral.
AGCGAACGCUGGCGGCAGGCCUAACACAUGCAAGUCGAACGAACCUUUCGGGGUUAGUGGCGGACGGGUGAGUAACACGUGGGAACGUGCCUUUAGGUUCGGAAUAACUCAGGGAAACUUGUGCUAAUACCGAAUGUGCCCUUCGGGGGAAAGAUUAAUCGCCUUUAGAGCGGCCCGCGUCUGAUUAGCUAGUUGGUUGAGGUAAUGGCUCACCAAGGCGACGAUCAGUAGCUGGUCUGAGAGGAUGAUCAGCCACAUUGGGACUGAGACACGGCCCAAACUCCUACGGGAGGCAGCAGUGGGGAAUCUUGCGCAAUGGGCGAAAGCCUGACGCAGCCAUGCCGCGUGAAUGAUGAAGGUCUUAGGAUUGUAAAAUUCUUUCAACGGGGACGAUAAUGACGGUACCCGGAUAAGAAGCCCCGGCUAACUUCGUG